GGUCCAGCGGAUGAGCUUGCUAGGUUAUGUCUCCCCCGAUCAACGCCCACGGGCUCGCCUGGGAUCUUUCCGUCCGCCGCCGCCGCCUCACCGGCCACCAACCACCACCACAAAGGCCCUAAAGGAGGAGACCCAAGUAGGCUCGACUAUGGAGCUACCGCCCCGCUCCACUAACCGCACCCGUCUCCGGUUCGUUGAGUCCGUUGAGUCCGCCGCCGGCGCCUAGGACCUACGUUCCGGCGUCUCUACGACCACCGCCCCCUAAGACCCGCCGUCCCUCUCCACUACAUCCACCACCACCACGACCGACCGCACCUGGUUGCGUUGUCUCUGGCGGGUGAGGAGGUUAAAAGGGGUGAGUCGGGUUAGGAAACCCACCCCCAUGUAUACCGCACCUCGUACCUAAACCUCCGCCAGUUGUACCGGUCCCCCUCAUAAAUCAACCGGCACUACCCGUACCUAGACCCGUUGUACCUUUACCUCCAAAACAUAGGCCCGUCGUUCCCGUCAAGAUGGUUGUCGGAGAUUAAGGAGGAAGUCCAUUGAAAGUCUGUGUAGGACGACAACCCAAACCUCGUCAAGUCAAACCGGUCUACCCGUUACUACGAAACCCAUCAAUAGUCAUAAGACCUUGAUCGUUGAGUGGAUUAGUUGUUCCUGCCCCCAUACCAAUAUGACUAAAGUUCAGUUUAGUUAGACCAUGAUCGUGACCCGGACGUUUAUAACCCUCGUCUAGUGUCUACUGUACGAUAUUUACACUCUUAUGACCAGUACGACAAUUCCUAACAGUCUGACACAAUAAAACGCAGUUGGCGUGGUUCCUAAAUGUGGAGAGCGCGUUCACGAGAAAGGACAGUGUUGGAUUCGGACAACGGUCAGACCAACCAUCACAACGACUACCAAACGUCUACAAGAGUUGUUCCUGGCCUUUUUUCGGUCUCGGUCUAUUUUUGUUCGUCCGAUAUCGAUAAUAAUGACACUUUUCACGUUCGGACUGACGCAAUGUUGAACAAUUGAGAGAGUCGUACUACAAGGUCACCCCUACCCUCACCGUCCGAUUCGGAAUAGAGUCUCUAUCGAAAAAUCAGUUUAAGGGAAGGCACUUAUUUUAACUACUUUACUUCCGCAUGUUAAAGAAACCAGACUAACCUUGUUGUUGAUUAUAGUUUCACCUAUCUACCUGGUUGAGAAGUUGACGUCGAAAGUUUGAGAUACAAACGACCCAAUCUUAUUGUCCCCAAGGGCUCUGUGACCUCGUGAUAGUUCCAAAAACACUUCGAUCGAGAGAGUAACCAAGUCAAAACCUUGACCUGUACCUCGAGAUAUCCGUUACACCUCAAGAGUCCCGAUUAUAACCUCAAUACUUAGGAUCCUUUUAUGGGAGAUCACGAGGGGACUUACUUUCACCAAAAUAGAAGUUGUAUAUGAAAGUUGACCUUCUGUAUCACCUCCUCCCACCAGGAUACCUCCUACCAUAGAACCAAUCGAUAGGAUCACCAGGACUAAGUAGAGUAUUACGAUGUCUCUUUUCUGGCUCUCUCGUUUCAUUGUUACUCCUCCACCCUACAUCGUUUAGAGGUUUUGUACCAUAACCCCGACCUUCCAGCCUAUUUCCUUUGUGAAGUCCAAGUAGUCUCCAACACUAAGGCUCAGUUAUGCUUGAACUAUUCUUGUACCAACGACUUUUACUCCACUCCGUUUUUAAUGAACUGUUCUUCGCCCUACGACUUUCUCAAGAGAGACCACACCUUGUCCAAUUACGACUCAAACGAUUAUCGCGACGAUACAACCUCCUAAAGUGUCUUCACGGACUGUCGGUUUUCCUUCAUCUCAAACUAACGUGAGUUCUGGGUCUACUGAAACGAUCCUCCGAACCCUAAUCGUGAGUUUUUCAAUUUCUUUAGUUACUAUUACAACUCUCCCUCUACUAACGCCUCCUUUUACUCUUAGACGAUGAUCGUGUUCUAUUCAUUUUAUCCUCGGGAAGAGAGUAGUCGAGGUGAGUCCGGCACUGGCGAGGGCCCUCUCUUCACUUAGUCUUCGUUUGAGGGAAGAGACUGUUUCAACUACGUACAAAUGUUAUGGGGAAUGUUCUGGACACACCACAGCUACGUCAGUUAUUCGUCUUUUACUCCCUCCGACUUCGGUCUCAAGUCUUUCGUUUUCUGUUCCGCCGCGAACUACUUCGACGAUCCUCUUCCUCACUUUCCGUAUUCUUAUUUCUACUCCCCGUCUGAUACCUGUUCCGAUGACUCUACCGUUUCUUCUUUUUUAACCUUUACCGUGGUCUCUUUUCCACACGUUUUUUACGAAUCCCUCCAAAGGUUCUCCGAUAGAGCCCAUCGUUUACUUCAGAUGUCUUCUUGUAUACCCACCUUAGGAAGACGAGAUUCUGACCCAAAACACAGAUGGACUUUAACCCGCUAAGACAUCAUACAAACCUGAUAACAAAACCGACUACACGUUUAACAUUUUCUACAAAUUUUCAGACAAGAGAGAAGCCAUCACCCACUAAACCGUAGGAUAUCUAUACCAAUAUACAGAUCCUACAUCCAACGAAUAGUCAACUACUCCACUACGUAGUCCAGACUACCUUUUUUCACCACACUACCAACAUAGAUCUGAAAAUAAAAGAAUUACUUUUA
Molecule: ribosomal RNA, 2645 nt
Filed under: Triticum aestivum (bread wheat)
Lineage: Eukaryota; Viridiplantae; Streptophyta; Magnoliopsida; Poales; Poaceae
Description: partial small subunit ribosomal RNA
Source: RNAcentral